UGGGGAAUUUUGGACAAUGGGGGAAACCCUGAUCCAGCCAUCCCGCGUGUGCGAUGAAGGCCUUCGGGUUGUAAAGCACUUUUGGCAGGAAAGAAACGUCGCGGGUUAAUACCCCGCGAAACUGACGGUACCUGCAGAAUAAGCACCGGCUAACUACGUGCCAGCAGCCGCGGUAAUACGUAGGGUGCAAGCGUUAAUCGGAAUUACUGGGCGUAAAGCGUGCGCAGGCGGUUCGGAAAGAAAGAUGUGAAAUCCCAGAGCUUAACUUUGGAACUGCAUUUUUAACUACCGGGCUAGAGUGUGUCAGAGGGAGGUGGAAUUCCGCGUGUAGCAGUGAAAUGCGUAGAUAUGCGGAGGAACACCGAUGGCGAAGGCAGCCUCCUGGGAUAACACUGACGCUCAUGCACGAAAGCGUGGGGAGCAAACAGGAUUAGAUACCCUGGUAGUCCACGCCCUAAACGAUGUCAACUAGCUGUUGGGGCCUUCGGGCCUUGGUAGCGCAGCUGACGCGUGAAGUUGACCGCCUGGGGAGUACGGUCGC
This 541-nucleotide ribosomal RNA is filed under the name uncultured bacterium. RNAcentral's name for it is "partial 16S ribosomal RNA". It matches the Rfam family "Bacterial small subunit ribosomal RNA", at positions 355 to 889 of the family's 1533-position model. The record is from RNAcentral.